This is a long non-coding RNA of Scophthalmus maximus (turbot), 684 nucleotides long. RefSeq lists it as uncharacterized. The record is from RefSeq and is a predicted model, not a curated record. The transcript is spliced from 5 exons. Lineage: Eukaryota; Metazoa; Chordata; Actinopteri; Pleuronectiformes; Scophthalmidae.
CUCCCGCCCGAAGGUUUCGGAGCAGCUCCGUCACGGAGGGCCGCUGCUGCGGGCUCCAGUGGCAGCAGGAGCGGACGACGUGGUACCUGGCGACAGACACGCGGCACAAGGCCGUUAAACUUCCACACCAAGUGGACAUGAGUUGGAGCACUUGGCCGGUCGUUUCAGAUGCUUCCCUCUCUGCAGAUGCUGCAGAAGUUCAGUCGCCCGGAUCGGAGCGAACGGUGGCUCGCCUGCACACGCGGAGAGAUCGAAGCCCAGCAGGUCUCUGUGCUGCAGCUCCUCCAUCACCAUCAUCGGGGGCGACUGCACCGACACGACACCCAGCAGCUCCGAAAACCCUGCUCCUGAAACGCCUCGUCGGUCGUCCGGACGAUGCUCCUGCAGCAAUGUGAUGCCACAUGAGCACAGAGCGGCUACUUUGACACGCCCCCUUACAAAGCCAGUUUGCUGACAUAGAGGGGGCAGGGCUUGAUCUAUACCGCCACCAGCCACCAGGGGGCGAUCCAGAUGUCUGUCACGUCGUCCAUCUUUAACAGCUUGAUGAUUAACUACAGGUGUAUGUUCUGGUGAUAGUUCCAGGCAGAGUGGGAAAACAAGUUGUCUUGUUUUCUUGCUGCUUGUGAUUUUCAACCCGACGAACCCGUUAAACCUCCGAGUGGAUCUGAAUAAACGGGUGAAUCC